GUUGUGGCUCAGCAGUAGAGCGCUUGCCUAGCAUGUGUAAAGCCCUGGGUUCAAUUCUCAGCACCACA
RNAcentral lists this transfer RNA (68 nucleotides) under Marmota monax (woodchuck). RNAcentral describes it as "tRNA.Undet". The record is from RNAcentral. Lineage: Eukaryota; Metazoa; Chordata; Mammalia; Rodentia; Sciuridae.